AGUGAACGCUGGCGGUAGGCCUAACACAUGCAAGUCGAACGGCAGCACAGUAAGAGCUUGCUCUUACGGGUGGCGAGUGGCGGACGGGUGAGGAAUACAUCGGAAUCUACUUUUUCGUGGGGGAUAACGUAGGGAAACUUACGCUAAUACCGCAUACGACCUACGGGUGAAAGCAGGGGAUCUUCGGACCUUGCGCGAUUGAAUGAGCCGAUGUCGGAUUAGCUAGUUGCGGGGUAAAGGCCCACCAAGGCGACGAUCCGUAGCUGGUCUGAGAGGAUGAUCCGCCACAAUGGAACUGAGACACGGUCCAGACUCCUACGGGAGGCAGCAGUGGGGAAUAUUGGACAAUGGGCGCAAGCCUGAUCCAGCCAUACCGCGUGGGUGAAGAAGGCCUUCGGGUUGUAAAACCCUUUUGUUGGGAAAGAAAAACAGCAGGUUAAAACCCCGCUGUUCUGACGGUACCCAAAGAAAAAGCACCGGCUAACUUCGUG
Molecule: ribosomal RNA, 491 nt
Filed under: uncultured bacterium
Lineage: Bacteria
Description: partial 16S ribosomal RNA
Rfam family: Bacterial small subunit ribosomal RNA
Source: RNAcentral